Molecule: transfer RNA, 72 nt
Filed under: Callithamnion tetricum
Lineage: Eukaryota; Rhodophyta; Florideophyceae; Ceramiales; Callithamniaceae
Description: tRNA-Asn
Rfam family: tRNA
About the family: Transfer RNA (tRNA) molecules are approximately 80 nucleotides in length.
Source: RNAcentral
UCCUCAGUAGCUCAGUGGUAGAGCAAUCGGCUGUUAACCGAUUGGUCGAAGGUUCAAAUCCUUCCUGGGGAG